CCUACGGGAGGCAGCAGUGGGGGAUAUUGCACAAUGGGGGGAACCCUGAUGCAGCGACGCCGCGUGAGUGAAGAAGUAUUUCGGUAUGUAAAGCUCUAUCAGCAGGGAAGAAAAUGACGGUACCUUACUAAGAAGCCCCGGCUAACUAAGUGCCAGCAGCCGGUGUAAUACGUAGGGGGCAAGCGUUAUCCGGAUUUACUGGGUGUAAAGGGAGCGUAGACGGGAAAGCAAGUCUGAAGUGAAAGCCCGGGGCCCAACCGCGGGACUGCUUUUGAAACUGCCCGGUGAGAGUGCUGGAGGGGUAAGCGGAAUUCCGAGUGUAGCGGUGAAAUGCGUAGAUAUUAGGAGGAACACCAGCGGCGAAGGCGGCUUACUGGACCGCAACUGACGUUGAGGCUCGAAAGCGUGGGGAGCAAACAGGAUUAGAUACCCUUGUAGUC
This 440-nucleotide ribosomal RNA is filed under the name uncultured bacterium. RNAcentral describes it as "partial 16S ribosomal RNA". It matches the Rfam family "Bacterial small subunit ribosomal RNA", at positions 338 to 795 of the family's 1533-position model. The record is from RNAcentral.